GAUGAACGCUGGCGGCGUGCCUAAUACAUGCAAGUCGAGCGAACGGACGAGAAGCUUGCUUCUCUGAUGUUAGCGGCGGACGGGUGAGUAACACGUGGAUAACCUACCUAUAAGACUGGGAUAACUUCGGGAAACCGGAGCUAAUACCGGAUAAUAUUUUGAACCGCAUGGUUCAAAAGUGAAAGACGGUCUUGCUGUCACUUAUAGAUGGAUCCGCGCUGCAUUAGCUAGUUGGUAAGGUAACGGCUUACCAAGGCAACGAUGCAUAGCCGACCUGAGAGGGUGAUCGGCCACACUGGAACUGAGACACGGUCCAGACUCCUACGGGUGGCAGCAGUAGGGAAUCUUCCGCAAUGGGCGAAAGCCUGACGGAGCAACGCCGCGUGAGUGAUGAAGGUCUUCGGAUCGUAAAACUCUGUUAUUAGGGAAGAACAUAUGUGUAAGUAACUGUGCACAUCUUGACGGUACCUAAUCAGAAAGCCACGGCUAACUACGUGCCAGCAGCCGCGGUAAUACGUAGGUGGCAAGCGUUAUCCGGAAUUAUUGGGCGUAAAGCGCGCGUAGGCGGUUUUUUAAGUCUGAUGUGAAAGCCCACGGCUCAACCGUGGAGGGUCAUUGGAAACUGGAAAACUUGAGUGCAGAAGAGGAAAGUGGAAUUCCAUGUGUAGCGGUGAAAUGCGCAGAGAUAUGGAGGAACACCAGUGGCGAAGGCGACUUUCUGGUCUGUAACUGACGCUGAUGUGCGAAAGCGUGGGGAUCAAACAGGAUUAGAUACCCUGGUAGUCCACGCCGUAAACGAUGAGUGCUAAGUGUUAGGGGGUUUCCGCCCCUUAGUGCUGCAGCUAACGCAUUAAGCACUCCGCCUGGGGAGUACGACCGCAAGGUUGAAACUCAAAGGAAUUGACGGGGACCCGCACAAGCGGUGGAGCAUGUGGUUUAAUUCGAAGCAACGCGAAGAACCUUACCAAAUCUUGACAUCCUUUGACAACUCUAGAGAUAGAGCUUUCCCCUUCGGGGGACAAAGUGACAGGUGGUGCAUGGUUGUCGUCAGCUCGUGUCGUGAGAUGUUGGGUUAAGUCCCGCAACGAGCGCAACCCUUAAGCUUAGUUGCCAUCAUUAAGUUGGGCACUCUAAGUUGACUGCCGGUGACAAACCGGAGGAAGGUGGGGAUGACGUCAAAUCAUCAUGCCCCUUAUGAUUUGGGCUACACACGUGCUACAAUGGACAAUACAAAGGGCAGCGAAACCGUGAGGUCAAGCAAAUCCCAUAAAGUUGUUCUCAGUUCGGAUUGUAGUCUGCAACUCGACUACAUGAAGCUGGAAUCGCUAGUAAUCGUAGAUCAGCAUGCUACGGUGAAUACGUUCCCGGGUCU
Molecule: ribosomal RNA, 1372 nt
Filed under: uncultured bacterium
Lineage: Bacteria
Description: bacterial SSU rRNA
Rfam family: Bacterial small subunit ribosomal RNA
Source: RNAcentral